Capra hircus (goat) is the source of this 2957-nucleotide long non-coding RNA. RefSeq lists it as uncharacterized. The transcript has 2 exons. Lineage: Eukaryota; Metazoa; Chordata; Mammalia; Artiodactyla; Bovidae. The record is from RefSeq and is a predicted model, not a curated record.
UUCGCGGUGGGGCGGAGGGCGGGGGACGUGGCUUCCCAGCUGGGUCUUUGGAAGAAAAGCUCCCGGGUGGAUCUCCGCCCUGCCUCCCGUGGGAGCCUGACCUGUCCCUCAUCAGUCACUGGUUUUAUUGAACUAGGAGUGUCAACGGUUUCAGGGCCCCGAGGCCCGGUAGAACAGGCGCUCAGAGCCUCAGUCCCUCUCACCCCUUCUUGGCUCCAGGCUACUGUCUGUCUCUCUCAGGAUUUUCCCCAAGGAGGUGCCAGCUGCCAAGAUUCCCCUGGCCUCUUUGCAGAGCCGGCGGGUGGAGGGAGCCUGCCCUUGGGGGCCUCCCUACAGUCAGGGGCUGAAUACCAGACUCUCCGAUGGCGUUAGCUCCCUGAGCUGCUGGGUCUGGUGUCUUAGCCCAGGGUGGCAUUUCUGACCAGCUCAGGUUCUCAGGGAGCCACGGGGAGGGUUUGCACCUGAAGAGGGAGGGUCAGACUGUCCAGAUGAGGCAGCAAAGCCUGGAAUCUAGACCCCAGCCCUUCCCCACCUUCCUUCCUGGGCAGAACCUACCUACGGAGCCUAUGGGUGCUAGGCUCGGAGCGCAAGAUGGAGGACUCAGCGGCAGAGGCGUUGUCCUCAACCAGGAGUUGGGAGUUUCAGAGGAGGAUGGGAUCCCUUGUGGACUGAAAGGCAGGAAGGAUUCAGAGAGAAGGAUGGGCAUGUAGCCUGGCCUUGGAGGAGGCGGUGGGCCAGGGACAGGAUGGGGGCAGGGUUCCUGAGGAUGCUGGGCAUUCAGUCGGGCCCCAGCUCCUCUUAGCACGUCCUCCCGCGAGCUGCUGCAGUGAGCUGUGACAGUGAGUCCUCCACAGAGCUGUACCUCAUUGUCGCCAGGAGUGGAUGAGCGGUUGGGUCAUCUGGCGUUAAAAAUUCAAGGCGGGUUAUUUUUCCAUUUUAUUCCGUUCAGCCCUGUUACAGCAAGCGCCUCCGUGUGGCAGGCCCCGUUUCGGAUGUCACAGGAGAUGCCGGUUUUGACCUUGGAGGGUCACUAAUCAGGCCCCAGAGACAGAUCUGUGUGUCCCACGUGCAGUGGCCGGCGUGCCAGAGGUCACCCGUCCUGGUGUGAAGGUUAACGAAGUCCCCCUGGAGCUCAGAGGAGGGGGCAGCCCCUCUGAUUGAAGAGGAAGUCCUGAGUCUUUCCCGGCACCCGAGGUGGGGACUGAGAGGCCCCUGGACACGAGGAGGGGGCAGAGCCCACCUGCGCCCCCAGGGCAAGUUAGUGCCAAGCUGUGGAGGGACACGCAGAGGCCACAGCAGAGCCCCGCGGUAGGCUGCUGUUGCGUGUGCAGGGGACGGGGAGUGUCAGACAGGGGACCGGCAGUGGGGACAGAGAGGAGCGGACCCAUCCUAGAGGCCCGAGGCGCAGGGCUCUCGUAGCCGAGCAAGCGGGCAGGUCUGGGCGGCCGGCAGGAAACGACGCAGGCACCGACCGCCCAUCAGUCCACUGAGGCCGGGGCCGCAGAGAGGCGUGUGUGUGUGUGUGUUCUGUUCUGUGUUGAUUGGAGUGGGGUGAUGGAAUAAUUCGUGAUCCAUGCCAGGCCCUUCUGAGGGCGAAAGCAGCAUUAACGACCGUUGACCUGGGCCAUCAGGCUGGCCUGGGCCGAGCAGACAGGGACAUCAUGUCUCCCUAGCUACAGCCCCUCUUGUCUGCGAGACACCCGGGGGAAGAAAAUGCCAAGGGGCAGGUGGGGUGUGAGCACACUGUCCCCAGCAGGGGUUACUGCACGACGGGAAAGGCAGGCGAGGGCCGAGGCCGGGGUCAGGAGGCCUUUGGCCUGCCCUCCCCACCCCCAGGCCUGGGUCUUCCCUGAAGACCCCCACUCGCAGGGUGGAGACCGGUGGGCUGCCUUUUCAGGUUUGGUCAGGCUGCUGGUGAAGGACACUCUUGUCCUGGGAGGCCCUGCAGCCUCCGCCCCUGGAAGGCCAGCCCCGGCUGUGCUGCCUCGCCUGAGUGGGGACACGUGGGGGCCGCCAGGGGCAGCUGGGGACAGGCCCCAUGCCUCCUGGGCACACGGCAGCCCAGGCCCGGGGCGUGUGUGGUUCUGAAAGCUCGAGAUGAACGCCCAGCUGCCGCAGGUGGACGAGAAGAGCGGCAGGGCACCAAGAGGGCCGUGGAAGCAGGGCUGGAGGGGAGCAGACCUGGGCUGUUUAUUAGAAACAUCAGGCCUCACGCUUCCGGGGCCGUGGCCUUGUGGUCCCGAGUGUGCGGCGGAUUCUCUCUGCUGGGGCCUGGGUGGCGGGCCUUUCCACCUUUCUCUGGGCGGCAGGAAGCCACGGGGGCCUGGCCUGCCACGUGCCCAGCCUGGCUUCAGUGAUCAAAGCCAAAUCCAUGAUGCUGGCCUCUCCUCCCCCUCAGGGCUGGAACCAGUCCCCUCGUGGCGUCUCAUCCUAGUGAGCUGAGAGUCCAGGCCCCUGCAGAUGAGCAUGGAGCCCGCAGGGAGGAGACGGCCUGCCUCUCUCCUCUCGCACCCCAGGGCCCUCUCAGGCCCCCGGGGCUCCGGACGUCCAGAAGGAGAGUGGCCUGCCUUGGUCACAUCGCAGAAUGUGAAAUAAGAAAAGGCGUUCUGGCGCUCCGGCAGCACGACACACCGGUGAACCUUCCAACCAGUGAAGGACAUUUUCAAAACAGAAUUCGUCUGUAGUCCCGUUGCUCGAGUUUUCCGUUUUGUCGACGUCGAGUCUCAGAUGUCCUCCACGUCCGUAUUCCUCGAACACCUGCUUCAGAGGCGAGUUUGCAGCCAGAUGGUGCAGUUUCAGGCUGCCUGUCUCAAGUAAUGUAAAUCCACGGUUUCCUAUGUUGCUGAAUCUUCCAAUUCCUUUGCUUUGGUCAUUUAGGUUGGUUGUAGUAUUUUUUUGCAGUAUUUUUAUUUAUACAAAUUUGUAAUAAAUAACAGCACUUACCACUUUUUUCUUCA